CUCUUGGAUCUCUAAAGCUCUAUUAUUUUUUUCUCUAUUUUUUCUUGACUUUCUACUCAAUUUUUUCUCUUAAGACUUAUUCCUGGACCUCCUAUUUAUAGAUGAAUUUUUCACCUUUUUUUGGUAGCAAAAGAAGUCCUAAAACCCUUAGAAUUUGUAUAAUAACCGUAAAAAUUUUUCUUGGCCGUCGGAUCUUCCUUGGAUUGCCCAAAUUUGAUCAAAAAUCAGUUGUUUUCUCCUUAUCAGGGUUGGAUUCAUUCUCAACCAUCCAAUCACACUCUAGAUUGAAUUUUGGCC
RNAcentral lists this long non-coding RNA (297 nucleotides) under Elaeis guineensis (African oil palm). RNAcentral's name for it is "long non-coding RNA (EGUI_LNC049735)". The record is from RNAcentral. Lineage: Eukaryota; Viridiplantae; Streptophyta; Magnoliopsida; Arecales; Arecaceae.